UGCCAGCAGCCGCGGUAAUACGUAGGGUGCAAGCGUUAUCCGGAAUCAUUGGGCGUAAAGAGCUCGUAGGCGGUUCAGCAAGUCGGCUGUGAAAUUCCGAGGCUCAACCUCGGAACUGCAGUCGAUACUGCUGUGACUCGAGUCCGGUAGAGGAGAAUGGAAUUCCCGGUGUAGCGGUGAAAUGCGCAGAUAUCGGGAGGAACACCAGUAGCGAAGGCGGUUCUCUGGGCCGGCACUGACGCUGAGGAGCGAAAGCGUGGGUAGCAAACAGGAUUAGAUA
This 280-nucleotide ribosomal RNA is filed under the name uncultured bacterium. Its description in RNAcentral is "partial 16S ribosomal RNA". It matches the Rfam family "Bacterial small subunit ribosomal RNA", at positions 506 to 784 of the family's 1533-position model. The record is from RNAcentral.